This 253-nucleotide ribosomal RNA is filed under the name uncultured bacterium. RNAcentral's name for it is "partial 16S ribosomal RNA". It matches the Rfam family "Bacterial small subunit ribosomal RNA", at positions 524 to 776 of the family's 1533-position model. The record is from RNAcentral.
UACGUAGGAGACGAGCGUUGUCCGGAGUUACUGGGCGUAAAGGGUGCGCAGGUGGCGGCGCGCGUGGGGGGUGAAAGCGCCUGGCUUAACCGGGCGAGGUCGGCGGAAACUCUCAGACUGGAGGCCGGUAGAGGGGGGUGGAAUUCCCGGUGUAGUGGUGAAAUGCGUAGAGAUCGGGAGGAACACCUGUGGCGAAGGCGGCCCCCUGGGCCGCGCCUGACGCUGAGACGCGAAGGCUAGGGGAGCGAACGGG